This 254-nucleotide ribosomal RNA is filed under the name uncultured bacterium. RNAcentral's name for it is "partial 16S ribosomal RNA". It matches the Rfam family "Bacterial small subunit ribosomal RNA", at positions 524 to 776 of the family's 1533-position model. The record is from RNAcentral.
UACGUAGGGGGCGAGCGUUGUCCGGAUUUAUUGGGCGUAAAACGCUUGUAGGCGGCCACGCCAAGUCGGAUGUGAAAUCUCCCGGCUUAACUGGGAGGGGUCAUCCGAUACUGGCGGGCUCGAGGCAGGUAGGGGGAAGCGGAAUUCCCGGUGUAGUGGUGGAAUGCGCAGAUAUCAGGAGGAACACCGGUGGCGAAGGCAGAUCUCUGGGCCUGUUCUGACGCUGAGGCGCGAAAGCUAGGGGAGCAAACAGG